Molecule: non-coding RNA, 88 nt
Organism: Abortiporus biennis
Lineage: Eukaryota; Fungi; Basidiomycota; Agaricomycetes; Polyporales; Podoscyphaceae
Source: the annotation of a GenBank genome assembly
GCCGGGAUAGCUCAGCUGGGAGAGCAGUAGACUGAAGUACGGUGUUACUGUGUUCUAAAGGUCCUGUGUUCAAUCCACGGUCCUGGCA